UACAGAGGUCUCAAGCGUUGUUCGGAUUCAUUGGGCGUAAAGGGUGCGUAGGCGGCGCGGUAAGUCGGGUGUGAAAUUUCGAGGCUUAACUUCGAAACUGCAUUCGAUACUGCCGUGCUAGAGGACUGGAGAGGAGACUGGAAUUUACGGUGUAGCGGUGAAAUGCGUAGAUAUCGUAAGGAAGACCAGUGGCGAAGGCGGGUCUCUGGACAGUUCCUGACGCUGAGGCGCGAAGGCCAGGGGAGCAAACGGG
RNAcentral lists this ribosomal RNA (253 nucleotides) under uncultured bacterium. RNAcentral describes it as "partial 16S ribosomal RNA". It matches the Rfam family "Bacterial small subunit ribosomal RNA", at positions 524 to 776 of the family's 1533-position model. The record is from RNAcentral.